Jatropha curcas is the source of this 967-nucleotide RNA transcript. It is a transcript of the gene named envelope glycoprotein, with no coding region annotated. NCBI's taxonomy places the organism in Eukaryota, Viridiplantae, Streptophyta, Magnoliopsida, Malpighiales, Euphorbiaceae. The record is from RefSeq and is a predicted model, not a curated record.
AGUCUCAAUUGUAGGGUUUAAGCGAUGGUUCCCUCACAGUUGCCUAUCUGGCUUUCGAAAUCCCUUUGACUCAAUCCUUCUACCUUUUGUGCACAGGAAUGGCAUCGUUUUGCAGAUCAGCUUUAAUGGCGGGCUCAAGGUCCAUAGCGGCUCGGUCUAGAACCCUAACCCAAAAAACCUUAAACUCAAACUCCUUUUCCUCUCCUUUCUCUUCGCAAUCAACGCGAGCCAUCCCCAACGCUUCAAGGGUUGUGUCGGUUUUGGGGAGCGUGGAGUCACUGAUGCCGCUUCACAGCGCCAUUGCGAGUGCUAGGCUCAAAUCCAGCAUCGCUGUUGAUUCCUCUUGCUGGAGCUGGCUUUCUCAAGCAAUUGCGGUUGCUUGACUUAUUUCUUCUACUACAUGCAAUAGGGCUUGCAACACCAUUGUGACAGAAUGCCGGAUCAAUGUUGGAUGAUUUUGCAGUUCCUCGGUGACAAAGGUUUUGGUAAUUUCAAACAAAAUUGGCUUGCUUUUGAGCAGUCUUUCUUCCUCCUAUGUUGGUUCUUCCGUCCUUUUGCCGUUUCAUUUCUACUGAUGGCUAUUUGCAUCGCAUAAGUCAUUGAUUGGGUGGGGUCAAUUUUUAGUAUGGGUUGUGGGCAUGCCUUCUUUUUUUGAGGUGGAAAGUCAAGGUCUUCCAAAAAUGUGUUCAUCAGCUUGCACACUCUGGUCUGUUGACAGUAUUUAUUUUCUUGGCUCUUCUUUUUAUUUAUUUUUCAAAGUUAAUAGGCUUGACUCUUAACCUACACAGAUCAACUGGAGAACAUGAGAAGUUAUUUGUAUCGAAUUGCUAUAUGUUGGAAUCACUAGGAUCUGUAUUUUCUGGGCUAGGAAGCAUGCAUCUACCUAUUAUUUUAUUAACUUUGCAAAUUCAUUAGUUAUGCAUUAGAAUUGAACCAAUGAUCUAUGAAUAUCGCACGACUUUCAGGA